GACGAACGCUGGCGGCGUGCUUAACACAUGCAAGUCGAACGGAAAGGCCCUGCUUUUGUGGGGUGCUCGAGUGGCGAACGGGUGAGUAACACGUGAGUAACCUGCCCUUGACUUUGGGAUAACUUCAGGAAACUGGGGCUAAUACCGGAUAGGAGCUCCUGCUGCAUGGUGGGGGUUGGAAAGUUUCGGCGGUUGGGGAUGGACUCGCGGCUUAUCAGCUUGUUGGUGGGGUAGUGGCUUACCAAGGCUUUGACGGGUAGCCGGCCUGAGAGGGUGACCGGCCACAUUGGGACUGAGAUACGGCCCAGACUCCUACGGGAGGCAGCAGUGGGGAAUAUUGCACAAUGGGCGGAAGCCUGAUGCAGCAACGCCGCGUGCGGGAUGACGGCCUUCGGGUUGUAAACCGCUUUCGCCUGUGACGAAGCGUGAGUGACGGUAAUGGGUAAAGAAGCACCGGCUAACUACGUGCCAGCAGCCGCGGUGAUACGUAGGGUGCGAGCGUUGUCCGGAUUUAUUGGGCGUAAAGGGCUCGUAGGUGGUUGAUCGCGUCGGAAGUGUAAUCUUGGGGCUUAACCCUGAGCGUGCUUUCGAUACGGGUUGACUUGAGGAAGGUAGGGGAGAAUGGAAUUCCUGGUGGAGCGGUGGAAUGCGCAGAUAUCAGGAGGAACACCAGUGGCGAAGGCGGUUCUCUGGGCCUUUCCUGACGCUGAGGAGCGAAAGCGUGGGGAGCGAACAGGCUUAGAUACCCUGGUAGUCCACGCUGUAAACGGUGGGUACUAGGUGUGGGGUCCAUUCUACGGGUUCCGUGCCGUAGCUAACGCUUUAAGUACCCCGCCUGGGGAGUACGGCCGCAAGGCUAAAACUCAAAGGAAUUGACGGGGCCCCGCACAAGCGGCGGAGCAUGCGGAUUAAUUCGAUGCAACGCGUAGAACCUUACCUGGGUUUGACAUGGAUCGGGAGUGCUCAGAGAUGGGUGUGCCUCUUUUGGGGUCGGUUCACAGGUGGUGCAUGGCUGUCGUCAGCUCGUGUCGUGAGAUGUUGGGUUAAGUCCCGCAACGAGCGCAACCCUUGUUCACUGUUGCCAGCACGUUAUGGUGGGGACUCAGUGGAGACCGCCGGGGUCAACUCGGAGGAAGGUGGGGAUGACGUCAAGUCAUCAUGCCCCUUAUGUCCAGGGCUUCACGCAUGCUACAAUGGCUGGUACAGAGAGUGGCGAGCCUGUGAGGGUGAGCGAAUCUCGGAAAGCCGGUCUCAGUUCGGAUUGGGGUCUGCAACUCGACCUCAUGAAGUCGGAGUCGCUAGUAAUCGCAGAUCAGCAACGCUGCGGUGAAUACGUUCCCGGGGCU
Molecule: ribosomal RNA, 1346 nt
Filed under: uncultured bacterium
Lineage: Bacteria
Description: partial 16S ribosomal RNA
Rfam family: Bacterial small subunit ribosomal RNA
Source: RNAcentral